ACGCUCGACACCUACGGGAGCAGCAGUUGGGAAUAUUGGACAAUGGAGGGAAACUCUGAUCCAGUGACGCCGCGUGAAGGAAGAAGGUCUUCGGAUUGUAAACUUAUUUUGUCAGGGAAGAAAAAUGACUGUACCUGAAGAAAAGCACCGGCUAACUACGUGCCACAGCCGCGGUAAUCUGAGCGGGCUGGCAAGGC
This 197-nucleotide ribosomal RNA is filed under the name uncultured bacterium. RNAcentral's name for it is "partial 16S ribosomal RNA". It matches the Rfam family "Bacterial small subunit ribosomal RNA", at positions 328 to 539 of the family's 1533-position model. The record is from RNAcentral.